RNAcentral lists this ribosomal RNA (484 nucleotides) under uncultured bacterium. RNAcentral's name for it is "partial 16S ribosomal RNA". It matches the Rfam family "Bacterial small subunit ribosomal RNA", at positions 30 to 507 of the family's 1533-position model. The record is from RNAcentral.
AUUGAACGCUGGCGGCAGGCCUAACACAUGCAAGUCGAGCGGAUGAAGGGAGCUUGCUCCUGGAUUCAGCGGCGGACGGGUGAGUAAUGCCUAGGAAUCUGCCUGGUAGUGGGGGAUAACAUCCGGAAACGGGCGCUAAUACCGCAUACGUCCUGAGGGAGAAAGUGGGGGAUCUUCGGACCUCACGCUAUCAGAUGAGCCUAGGUCGGAUUAGCUAGUUGGUGGGGUAAAGGCCUACCAAGGCGACGAUCCGUAACUGGUCUGAGAGGAUGAUCAGUCACACUGGAACUGAGACACGGUCCAGACUCCUACGGGAGGCAGCAGUGGGGAAUAUUGGACAAAGGGCGAAAGCCUGAUCCAGCCAUGCCGCGUGUGUGAAGAAGGUCUUCGGACUGUAAAGCACUUUAAGUUGGGAGGAAGGGCAGUAAGUUAAUACCUUGCUGUUUUGACGUUACCAACAGAAUAAGCACCGGCUAACUUCGUG